This 468-nucleotide ribosomal RNA is filed under the name uncultured bacterium. RNAcentral describes it as "partial 16S ribosomal RNA". It matches the Rfam family "Bacterial small subunit ribosomal RNA", at positions 28 to 507 of the family's 1533-position model. The record is from RNAcentral.
GACGAACGCUGGCGGCGUGCUUAACACAUGCAAGUCGAACGGAAAGGCCCUGCUUUUGUGGGGUGCUCGAGUGGCGAACGGGUGAGUAACACGUGAGUAACCUGCCCUUGACUUUGGGAUAACUUCAGGAAACUGGGGCUAAUACCGGAUAGGAGCUCCUGCUGCAUGGUGGGGGAUGGAAAGUUUCGGCGGUUGGGGAUGGACUCGCGGCUUAUCAGCUUGUUGGUGGGGUAGUGGCUUACCAAGGCUUUGACGGGUAGCCGGCCUGAGAGGGUGACCGGCCACAUUGGGAUUGAGAUACGGCCCAGACUCCUACGGGAGGCAGCAGUGGGGAAUAUUGCACAAUGGGCGGAAGCCUGAUGCAGCAACGCCGCGUGCGGGAUGACGGCCUUCGGGUUGUAAACCGCUUUCGCCUGUGACGAAGCGUGAGUGACGGUAAUGGGUAAAGAAGCACCGGCUAACUACGUG